This 615-nucleotide ribosomal RNA is filed under the name uncultured bacterium. RNAcentral's name for it is "bacterial SSU rRNA". It matches the Rfam family "Bacterial small subunit ribosomal RNA", at positions 338 to 951 of the family's 1533-position model. The record is from RNAcentral.
CCUACGGGAGGCAGCAGUAAGGAAUAUUGGUCAAUGGACGAAAGUCUGAACCAGCCAUGCCGCGUGAAGGAUGAAGGCCCUCUGGGUUGUAAACUUCUUUUAUAGGGGACGAAAAAAGGGAAUUCUUUCCCACUUGACGGUACCCUAGGAAUAAGCACCGGCUAACUCCGUGCCAGCAGCCGCGGUAAUACGGAGGGUGCAAGCGUUAUCCGGAUUUACUGGGUUUAAAGGGUGCGUAGGUGGGCAGUUAAGUCAGUGGUGAAAUCUCCGAGCUUAACUCGGAAACUGCCAUUGAUACUAUCUGUCUUGAAUAUCCUGGAGGUGAGCGGAAUAUGUCAUGUAGCGGUGAAAUGCUUAGAUAUGACAUAGAACACCAAUUGCGAAGGCAGCUCACUACGGGAUUAUUGACACUGAGGCACGAAAGCGUGGGGAUCAAACAGGAUUAGAUACCCUGGUAGUCCACGCCCUAAACUAUGGAUACUCGACAUCAGCGAUACACUGUUGGUGUCUGAGCGAAAGCAUUAAGUAUCCCACCUGGGAAGUACGAUCGCAAGAUUGAAACUUAAAGAGUAGUUGGCGUGNGAGAGCGACGACGACGACGACGGAGGGAGGAGG